Molecule: ribosomal RNA, 247 nt
Filed under: uncultured bacterium
Lineage: Bacteria
Description: partial 16S ribosomal RNA
Rfam family: Bacterial small subunit ribosomal RNA
Source: RNAcentral
AUACGGAGGAUCCGAGCGUUAUCCGGAAUUAUUGGGUUUAAAGGGUUCGUAGGCGGUUGAGUAAGUCAGUGGUGAAAUCUUAUAGCUUAACUAUAAAAUUGCCGUUGAUACUGCUUGACUUGAAUAGUAUGGAAGUAAUUAGAAUAUGUAGUGUAGCGGUGAAAUGCUUAGAUAUUACAUGGAAUACCAAUUGCGAAGGCAGAUUACUACGUACUUAUUGACGCUGAUGAACGAAAGCGUGGGUAGC